This 460-nucleotide ribosomal RNA is filed under the name uncultured bacterium. Its description in RNAcentral is "partial 16S ribosomal RNA". It matches the Rfam family "Bacterial small subunit ribosomal RNA", at positions 338 to 795 of the family's 1533-position model. The record is from RNAcentral.
CCUACGUGCGGCAGCAGUGAGGAAUAUUGGUCAAUGGGCGCGAGCCUGAACCAGCCAAGUAGCGUGAAGGAUGACUGCCCUACGGGUUGUAAACUUCUUUUAUCAAGGAAUUAAGUGAGGCACGUUUGCCUUUUUGUCUGUACUUUAUGAAUAAGGAUCGGCUAACUCCGUGCCAGCAGCCGCGGUAAUACGGAGGAGCCGAGCGUUAUCCGGAUUUAUUGGGUUUAAAGGGAGCGUAGAUGGGUUGUUAUGUCAGUUGUGAAAGUUUGCGGCUCACCCGUAAAAUUGCAAUUGAUACUGGCAGCCUUGAGUACAGUGGAGGUAGGCGGAAUUCGUGGUGUAGCGGUGAAAUGCUUAGAUAUCACGAAGAACUCCGAUUGCGAAGGCAGCCUACUAAACUGCCACUGACAUUGAUGCUCGAAAGUGUGGGUAUCAAACAGGAUUAGAUACCCGAGUAGUC